UCAGUGAAAUUGAACUCGCUGUGAAGAUGCAGUGUACCCGCGGCAAGACGGAAAGACCCCGUGAACCUUUACUAUAGCUUGACACUGAACAUUGAGCCUUGAUGUGUAGGAUAGGUGGGAGGCUUUGAAGUGUGGACGCCAGUCUGCAUGGAGCCGACCUUGAAAUACCACCCUUUAAUGUUUGAUGUUCUAACGUUGACCCGUAAUCCGGGUUGCGGACAGUGUCUGGUGGGUAGUUUGACUGGGGCGGUCUCCUCCUAAAGAGUAACGGAGGAGCACGAAGGUUGGCUAAUCCUGGUCGGACAUCAGGAGGUUAGUGCAAUGGCAUAAGCCAGCUUGACUGCGAGCGUGACGGCGCGAGCAGGUGCGAAAGCAGGUCAUAGUGAUCCGGUGGUUCUGAAUGGAAGGGCCAUCGCUCAACGGAUAAAAGGUACUCCGGGGAUAACAGGCUGAUACCGCCCAAGAGUUCAUAUCGACGGCGGUGUUUGGCACCUCGAUGUCGGCUCAUCACAUCCUGGGGCUGAAGUAGGUCCCAAGGGUAUGGCUGUUCGCCAUUUAAAGUGGUACGCGAGCUGGGUUUAGAACGUCGUGAGACAGUUCGGUCCCUA
Molecule: ribosomal RNA, 608 nt
Filed under: Escherichia coli
Lineage: Bacteria; Pseudomonadati; Pseudomonadota; Gammaproteobacteria; Enterobacterales; Enterobacteriaceae
Description: partial 23S ribosomal RNA
Rfam family: Bacterial large subunit ribosomal RNA
Source: RNAcentral